CUCCUUGCGCCGCCACUAACUCCACCUGGUCUCCCCCACCUCGGGAUCUUGCCCGAUCCAAAAAUCCUCAUCGGGAUCCCCUGCCCGAUCCACCCAACCAGCUCGUAGCCGCCUCCCCUUCCCUGCUCCCGUGCGUGUCCAGCACCACAGGAGAGGUGCUCCUCGAGCCCUCGAUCCAGCGCGCAGAUGCUCGAGCGCUCCUCCUCGUGACCCGCCGCCCCGGCGAACCGUCACCGUCGGCGACCACUUCCAUCAGGCCGGACCCCGCUCCCCUCGUUGCUUCUCCUUCUCCCGUUCCCUCCGUUUUCCCUCUCUCACUUACUCUCUGUCAUCUCCAGGAAACUGCAGGAGGCAAGCACCAUGCCAUGGCAUCCCCUGCUCGACGACUGCGUCGCCGUCGUCGACUUCGCGCCCAUCCCCGCCUGAUUCUGCAGCGCCGCCGCCCGUCUUCUUCGUUCAAGGCAAGCUCUGCUGCUGUCCUGCUCGAGCUGCCAAGUCCCUGUCGCCUCGCCGCUGUACCCCGUCCUCGACCUCAUUCAGCAGCCCCCGCCGCAAGCCGCGACCUCCACAGCCUCCUCCCGAAUCUGCUCCGCCUCGCCUCUGCCGGAUCGGAGCAGCACCGGACCAGCAGGACCGUGCCCUUCCUCUCCAGCCUCCCCUCUGUUUUCUUCUAGAUCACCGGCAACGCUCUCUCUCAGGAUCUCUCUUCUCUCUCGCUUCUCUCCACAGGGAACCGAAGCCAUGGCCACCGGCCGUCCAUGGUCGCCGCCGCAAGGAUCUGCUCGCCUCCGCUGCCUCCGCGCCAUCCCUGUCGCCGGAGGAUGCAGCCCCGCCGCUUCCAAGUCCUCUGCUUCGCCCGUGGUCGAGCGAGACGACCAUAAACGCAGCCGCGUUGACCGCCCGCUCGCCAGCGCCUUUCUGCCUCGCUGGCAAGGCCCAGCCUGCUCCAGCUCCUCAUCCGGCAUGCCAGGCCUCUCCACCAGCUGGGCCGAGGCCCAUGGUGAGAACCUCCCCCAGCGCCCAUGUCCUGUUUCAGCCUGUGCUCUAAUUCAGCCCGCAUGUGUUUUUUUUACUGCUGCGAAUUUAACAUUAUCCAUUGUAUUACUGAUUUACAGAAAACCCCUCCAUGUUCAUGCAUAUAAUAACUCAUUAUCCGUGCGUCAUAUGUAAAUAAUUUAUAUAUGUGAUAUGCUCAGAAAAUUGUGUAGAUUAACAAUAUGCCACUUUCAUCCCAUGUUAAUAUGUUUAACAUGUUGUUUACAUUAAUUUGCUCCUAUGCCAUGCUAAAAUGAUUUAUUUCAUAACUAUUUAACCGUAACUCCGAAUUUAAUGUUCUUUAUAUGUAAAUGGGGUGGAAAAAUGCCUAGUUUAACAUGGUGCACUUUGUUUUAUUGUUUAACAACUUUAAAAUAUGUUUUAGGGCAGAACAGUAGCAAAUUCAUAAAUUGCAUAUGAGGUUUUUCCGAAAAUAUUGUUUGUUGUUCCGGCCUCAUUUAAACUUGCCUAAAUAUUUAGUUUACUUUUGUUACACCCCUUGACAUGUUUAACAACAUUUAACAUUGUUGUGUACCUAAACGAGAGCGAACUAAAUAACUCGGAUGUGGUGUUUCGUCAAUAUGCAACUCGUUGCAUAUUGAGCUCCACUUAACUUGUAGUAUUGUGUGUUGCACUUUGCCAUGCCAUGCCCCAUUAAACCGGACAUGCAUCAUAAUUGAUUGUGCAUCAUGCCAUAUUUAUGCUUGUGUGUUUAACAUGUUGUUUGUUUCUUUCCGGUGUUGCUUCUUAGUCCCGGUAAUGUUGCGAUUGUGAGGAUUCAUUCGACUACGUCCAUUUGUCUUCUUCAUGGACUCGUUCUUCUUCCUAGCGGGAUUUCAGGCAAGAUGACCGCUACCCUGGAUCUCACUACUAUCAUUGAUAUGCUAGUUGCUUCGUUCUAUCGCUAUGUUGCGCUACCUAUCAUUUUGUUCUAUCAAGCCUCCCAAAUUGCCAUGAACCUCUAACCUUUGACACCAUUCCUAGCAAACCGUUGCUUGGCUAUGUUACCGCUUUGCUCAGCCCUCUUAUAGCGUUGCUAGUUGCAGGUGAAGUUGAAGAUUGCUCCAUGGUGGAUAGGGUUAUGUUGGGAUAUUACAAUAUCUCUUAUAUUAUUAAUGCAUCUAUAUAUUUGGUAAAGGGUGGAAGGCUCGGCCUUAUGCCUGGUGUUUUGUUCCACUCUUGCCGCCCUAGUUUCUGUCAUACCGGUGUUAUGUUCCCGGAUUUUGCGUUCCUAACGCGGUCGGGUGAUUUAUGGGACCCCCUUGACAGUUCGCUUUGAUAAAACUUGUCCAGCAAGGCCCAACCUUGGUUUUACCAUUUGCCUCACCACCACCUAUACCCUUCCCUUGGGUCGGCCAACCCGAGGGUCAUCUUUAUUUUAGCCCCCCCGGGCCAGUGCUUGUCUAAGUGCUGGUCCGAACUGAGUAGACCGCGGGGCCCCCUCGGGGCAACUCGAGGUCUGGUUUUACUCGUAGGAUGUCUCAUCUGGUGUUACCCUGAGAACGAGAUAUGUGCAGCUCCUAUCGGGAUUGUCGGCGCAUCGGGCGGCUUUGCUGGUCUUGUUUUACCAUUGUCGAAAUGUCUUGUAAACCGGGAUUCCAAGACUGAUCGGGUCUUCCUGGGAGAAGGUCUAUUCCUUCGUUGAUCACGAGAGCUUGUCAUGGGCUAAGUUGGGACACCCCUGCAGGGUAUAAACUUUCGAGAGCCGUGCCCGCGGUUAUGUUGCAGAUGGGAAUUUGUUAAUGUCCGGUUGUAGAUAACUUGACACCAGAUCCGAAUUAAAAUGCAUCAACCGCGUGUGUAGCCGUGAUGGUCUCUUCUCGGUGGAGUCCGGGAAGUGAACACGGUUUCUGGGUUAUGUUUGACGUAAGUAGGUGUUCAGGAUCACCUCUUGAUCAUUGCUAGCUUCACGACUGUUCCUUUGUUUCUCUUCUCGCUCUCAUUUGCGUAUGUUAGCCACCAUAUAUGCUUAGCCGCUGCUGCAACCUCACCACUUUACCCCUUCCUUACCCAUUAAGCUUUGCUAGUCUUGAUACCCAUGGUAAUGGGAUUGCUGAGUCCUCGUGGCUCAUAGUUACUUCCAAAACCAGUUUGCAGGUACCAAUGUUACCAAGCAGGUGACGCCACCAAGCUCAAGGAGGAGCUCGAUGAAGAUCUUGCCCUUUGUGUUGUUUCGUUCUAGUUGAUCAGUAGUGGAGCCCAGUUGGGGUCGAUCGGGGACCUUUGUCACAUUUGGGGUUCUUCUUUUAUUUUGGUUCCGUAGUCGGACCUUGAUUGUAUCUGUAUGAUGUAAUGCUUUACUCAUGUAUUGUGUGAAGUGGCGAUUGUAAGCCAACUAUGUAUCUCUUUCCCUUAUGUAUUACAUGGGUUGUGUGAAGAUUACCUCACUUGCGACAUUGCUUUCAAUGCGGUUAUGCCUCUAAGUCGUGCUUCGACACGUGGGAGAUAUAGCCGCAUCGAGGGCGUUACAAGUUGGUAAUCAGAGCCUUCCCCGACCUUAGGAGCCCCACUGCUUGAUCGUUUUUAGCGGCCAAGUUGUGUCUAGAAAAAUGUUUUGAGUCAUUUAGGAUUAUAUAUAUCGGAGAGUUAGGAAUUCUUUUUACUCCCCAGUCUCUUCAUCGCUCUGGUAAGGCAUCCUGACGUAGAGUUUUGACUCUUCUCUUCUCAAAUUUCACUAAAUUUUUUUUAGGAUCACGCGGGUAUCUUGGAAUCAUUCCGAUGGUUUUAUGAUGAGAACAUUGUCUUGGUGCCUUCUGUCAGGGGUUUAGUGGAAGUGUCCUGGGGAGUUGAGCUCUGAGGUGUUGUCGUCAUAAUUUUAUCGUUGCAGUUCUGGAAUACCUGAGUUUAGUACGCCGACAUCGAAAAUCUCUUUUAUGCAGUUGUUGUUGAGAUAACCCCGAUAACCCAGUACUGAGGUGAGUACGGGAGUAUUGCCAUAACUUGUAUAACGGAUGCUUUUCGAAGGUUGAGGUACACGAUUUCCGAAGGUUUCUUGGUUAUGUUUUGACGGAUGGAUACAGCUUGGAUGUAGGUAUUGUUAGUUUGGGUGAGAUAUAUUGCUUCCCGUGUAUCCCCAACACCAGAUUGCAUAACCAGAAAGUUUCGGGAGUUUAUAGGUGGGAAUUCAAGUAGCUCCUAGAACAUCUUUCCGACAGAUGCAUGAUAUGGGAUUGGGUAAAUCUCUAUCAUAUGUUUGUUCCGGCUUAUUCUGCAAGCCAGUCCUUUGUUUUUGUUUUGAGUUGUGGUAUUCGAGUUGCUUCAAUGUCAAGUGUUGAUUCCAUACCUUUCCGAAAUGGUGUUCUCAUACUCCGAUGUGAAUACCAAUCCUUCUCGACAAUCGAGAUUGUCAUGUCAAUCCUUUUCAACCGGCGUGUUUCUCUUCAAGUGGAUCAGAUCACUUCAACAUCAGCAAGACCAAUUAUCAUUUCUUCUCAACGGUGUUUGUUUCAUCCGUCUCCAAGUUGCCUUUGUUUUUCCCGCCCACCCUCCCUUUUUCCUCAAGGACUAAGAUUUCUUUACCAAGUAUCCUUUUAUUUUUGUGAAGUUUCUCCAUUCUUUUCCGUCAAUGUUCUUACCCGGUGGUUCUCAAGAAGAUGUUCUACUAGUUCGUCAUUCCUCAUUCCUUUCUCUUCUCCGGUGGAUUCAAGUCAAGUUUUGUUGAUCAUACCUUUUUCCUCAUUUCAAUGUCUUCUCAUACCGGUGCACCUCAUUAUCAUUCUACUUCUCGCUAUUUGUUAUUCCGGAGUGCUCAAGAUAUCUCAAAGAUUCGUGUUUCCACUCUGCAUUCGUUCAAGCUCUUUCGAGAUUGGUAUCUCAUUCAAGUCAUUUAAUUCAACCGGUGCAACAUCUCUUUUAAAUCUUUGCAACGGUGUUCUUUUGAGUGGGCCCUAACCCACAGGUCUUUUCCCAGGAUCUUACCUGACUCUUCUAUUUUCCCAGAGCUAUCCUAAAUUCUUCUCCAAGUUUGACGUAAGAAUGAGUUAUCAUCAGUCAAAUGCUUUUCUCCAAGAUCUUUCAAAUUCUUUUCAUAGUUGGCUCAACCUCUUCGCUUUUGAUUCUUCCGGUGUGCCUCAAUAAUUCUUGGUGGUGUUUUUCAUUGUCAUUCUCAACAUUUGAAGACCGUAGACGGAUUUCUCUUAAAUCUUGGUCCAUUCUCUUGAAGGUUCAUGGCUCUAGCUUCAUGCUAUCAUCAUAAUUGUUUUGAUUGUGACUAUUCUUUUCACCCAUCCGGAGCAUUUCAUGAGUUGUUUCCAUUUCUUUCCUCCGAAGGCCAUCAUGUCAUAAUUCUUCAUUCUCAGCGUGUAGCUAUCGUUCUCCAAAUCUUACCGGUGAUUUGUUUAAAUAUCCUCUAAUCAGUUCAUGUUCUCUUCGUUCUCAUGUAUCUAAAUCCCCUCAAAUAUCUUCAUUUGUUUUCCAAUUCUUCCCGGUGAAUUGUGCCUUUGCUACAUUCAUUUUCAAUUCUUACGGUGGUUCGUUAAAGAUUUCACUUCCUUCAUUAUCUUAUCAAUUCAUUCGUUGUUUUCAAAUCCUACUGGUGGAUCGUUGAAGACUUUUCUCAAGUUUGCUCUAUAUCUUCUUAAUCCUUUCUAGAAGAAUAAGUAGUAUGCCAACUCCAUUGCUUAUCAUCAAUUUAAUUUGAUGAAGGAUAAACAUACAAUAAAUCUUAUUCUUAUUUCCUCGAGGUGAUUCAAUUCUUUUUUUCCGGAGAUUAUUCAUCAUGAAUAAAUUCUUGAUUACAAGUGAUUCAUCUUUCUUUCCGGAGUUUGUUCAUCAUAUCACAUUCUCGGUUUCAUGUGUUUCAUGUUUUCUUUUCCGGAGUUCCAAGUUUUCCGCAUUAUCUCGUCACGAAGCUCCAUCUAAAUCAUUGCAACGCUUCACCUUGUGUUUUCAACUUCUCUUUCUUUUCAUCAUCCUUCUAUUACCGGAGUUCUUCAUGGAGGCUCUAAAUGGUGGGUCGUCAAGGAUUCUUUUCAUUCUUCAAUUGUUCUUCAAGAUUUCGCUCGAAGUUAUGAUCCGCCAAGCUAUACUCAAAAGUAAACAGGGUGCCCAACACUUGUUUUGUUUUGAGAAGCUCAAGUAUUCUCCGUCUUGCAUUCCAAAGUGCAAUUCCUUCUAUCUUAUCUUUUGAGAUAGUGUUAUGUCACUCUUGACAAUUUCCUUCAUGUUUCAUGAUUCAUAUUGUUGUCAAGAAUGAGGUAUUUUAAAUCCAGCAGUCUCUUCACUGGAUUUAUAUUGGGUUAUAUUUCACCUAAAGCCUUCCCCAAGGAAUGUUGCUAUUUUGUGGUGAUUACGCAUGACCCAAGCUUACUCUUUAUCCUCUUGGUGGAAGAAGUUUUCAUCUCUUCGUUGAUCUCAAGCAAGCAAUUGUUUUCGUUAGUGGCAGAAUUUCACCUCAAGUGUUGAGAUGUUUUCCAUAAGCCACAACAAGUUUGUGCUUCUCGUUGUUGAUUUUCCAACAACUCCGUUCGAUUCUUCUUUGCAAGGAUGCUUUCCAGGUUCACUUGUGGAAAAAGUUGUCAUUUUCUUCUCCGUCCCUUUAUCCCAAUGAUCUAACUUCUAUUCUUUCGUUACGGAGACAUUGUGAUGUUGUGCUCUUCACUCAUCACCUCGUUUUUUUUGAGGAUCGUGUUCUUUUCUUGUUUAUCCAUUUAACCGGAGUGUUGUAUCAUCUCUUCAAUAUCUCUUCAUCUCAUCAAGCUUUUCUACCGGAGUGCUGUCCAAAUUCUGUCAUUCUUGUUCCUUGGCUAUCUCACUAUACCGAGGUGGUCAUAUUCUUUUCGUUCGUGAAGCUCUUUUUUCCAUGUCUUUCAACCUUCAAGUUCUCGUAAUACUCCUUGUUCCUCUUUUCUAACGAAUUGUUUGCAAUCUCGUUCAUCUCUGUUGUACUCUUUCUUUUAAAUUGCUCAACCUCUCAAGGUUUGUGGUUUCACUAGUUCGUCAAAGAAGCAACUUAGUUUUACCUCUUCUCUUCCUCUUUCUUUUCCCUCCGGUGCCAUCCUAGAUCUCGGGACGAGAUCCUCUCGUAGUGGUGGAGUGUUGUAACGCCCCGGAUGUAACUUUCCAUAUUCGUAACUCCAACUCCUGCCUUUUCCGGAGAUGCGAUAUAUUAUUUUCUCCGUGGUUGGGUUUUUGUCUUUCGUUUUGCAUUUUGUUCAUGUCAUGCAUUUCAUCAUCGCAUCAUUCGCAUUGCAUCGGCAUUGUUUUCAUAAAACUUGCAUUCGCUCGUAGUUGUUGCUUCUUCCUUGUUCCUGUUGACCCCUCUCAGAUCAACCGGACCGCUCUCUUCUCUCUCUUUUCUGAGCCCAUCAAAACCCUUUGUCUCCAUGGCGUUUCGUCAAACCCCUCUUGCGUGCGUCCGAAAACUCCCCUGAACCCGACCCGGGCAGUCAUUACCAUUGGGUCCGGAUCAUCCCCUAACGUCUACAAAACAUCUCUGUUUUGUUAUUUGGGCUCCCUAACUAUUUUAUUCGCGACCGUCCGAUUUUAAUCGAAGGGACCAAAUGACCCUAAGCCUACCCACUCGCUAUAUAUAGCAGUCUAACCCUAGAUCCUAGGGGCUUGUCCCAUCCAUUCCCCUCCUUGCGCCGCCACUAACUCCACCUGGUCUCCCCCACCUCGGGAUCUUGCCCGAUCCAAAAUUCCUCAUCGGGAUCCCCUGCCCGAUCCACCCAACCAGCUCGCAGCCGCCUCCCCUUCCCUGCUCCCGUGCGUGUCCAGCACCACAGGAGAGGUGCUCCUCGAGCCCUUGAUCUAGCGCGCAGAUGCCCGAGCGCUCCUCCUCGUGACCCACCGCCUCGGCGAACCGUCACGGUCGGCGACCACUUCCAUCAGGCCGGACCCCGCUCCCCUCGUUGCUUCUCCUUCUCCCGUUCCCUCCGUUUUCCCUCUCUCACUUGCUCUCUGUCAUCUCCAGGAAACUGCAGGAGGCAAGCACCAUGCAAUGGCCUCCCCUGCUCGACGACCGCGUCGCUGUCGUCGACUUCGCGCCCAUCCCCGCCUGAUUCUGCAGCACCGCCGCCCGUCUUCUUCGUUCACGGCAAGCUUUGCCGCUGUCCUGCUCGAGCUGCCAAGUCCCUGUUGCCUCGCCGCUGUACCCCGUCCUCGACCUCAUUCAGCAGCCCCCGCCGCAAGCCGCGACCUCCACAGCCUCCUCCCGAAUCUGCUCCGCCUCGCCUCUGCCGGAUCGGAGCAGCACCGGACCAGCAGGACCGUGCCCUUCCUCUCCAGCCUCCCCUCUGUUUUCUUCUAGAUCACCGGCAACGCUCUCUCUCAGAAUCUCUCUUCUCUCUCGCUUCUCUCCACAGGGAACCGAAGCCAUGGCCGCCGGCCAUCCAUGGUCGCCGCCGCAAGGAUUUGCUUGCCUCCGCUGCCUCCGCGCCAUCCCUGUCGCCGGAGGAUGCAGCCCCGCC
Molecule: long non-coding RNA, 8444 nt
Filed under: Triticum aestivum (bread wheat)
Lineage: Eukaryota; Viridiplantae; Streptophyta; Magnoliopsida; Poales; Poaceae
Description: long non-coding RNA (TAES_LNC011733)
Source: RNAcentral